AGUGAACGCUGGCGGUAGGCCUAACACAUGCAAGUCGAACGGCAGCACAGUAAGAGCUUGCUCUUACGGGUGGCGAGUGGCGGACGGGUGAGGAAUACAUCGGAAUCUACUUUUUCGUGGGGGAUAACGUAGGGAAACUUACGCUAAUACCGCAUCCGACCUAGGGGUGAAAGCAGGGGAUCUUCGGACCUUGCGGGAUUGAAUGCGCCGAUGUCGGAUUAGCUAGUUGGCGGGGUAAAGACCCACCAAGGCGACGAUCGGUAGCUGGUCUGAGAGGAUGAUCAGCCACACUGGAACUGAGACACGGUCCAGACUCCUACGGGAGGCAGCAGCGGGGAAUAUUGGACAAUGGGCGCAAGCCUGAUCCAGCCAUACCGCGUGGGUGAAGAAGGCCUUCGGGUUGUAAAGCCCUUUUGUUGGGAAAGAAAAGCAGCAGGUUAAUACCCCGCUGUUCUGACGGUACCCAAAGAAUAAGCACCGGCUAACUUCGUG
RNAcentral lists this ribosomal RNA (492 nucleotides) under uncultured bacterium. Its description in RNAcentral is "partial 16S ribosomal RNA". It matches the Rfam family "Bacterial small subunit ribosomal RNA", at positions 29 to 507 of the family's 1533-position model. The record is from RNAcentral.